RNAcentral lists this ribosomal RNA (433 nucleotides) under uncultured bacterium. RNAcentral describes it as "partial 16S ribosomal RNA". It matches the Rfam family "Bacterial small subunit ribosomal RNA", at positions 29 to 507 of the family's 1533-position model. The record is from RNAcentral.
AACGAACGCUGGCGGCAUGCCUAACACAUGCAAGUCGAACGAGACCUUCGGGUCUAGUGGCGCACGGGUGCGUAACGCGUGGGAAUCUGCCCUUGGGUUCGGAAUAACAGUUGGAAACGACUGCUAAUACCGGAUGAUGACGUAAGUCCAAAGAUUUAUCGCCCAGGGAUGAGCCCGCGUAGGAUUAGCUAGUUGGUGGGGUAAAGGCCUACCAAGGCGACGAUCCUUAGCUGGUCUGAGAGGAUGAUCAGCCACACUGGGACUGAGACACGGCCCAGACUCCUACGGGAGGCAGCAGUGGGGAAUAUUGGACAGUGGGCGAAAGCCUGAUCCAGCAAUGCCGCGUGAGUGAUGAAGGCCUUAGGGUUGUAAAGCUCUUUUACCCGGGAUGAUAAUGACAGUACCGGGAGAAUAAGCCCCGGCUAACUCCGUG